Molecule: ribosomal RNA, 440 nt
Filed under: uncultured bacterium
Lineage: Bacteria
Description: partial 16S ribosomal RNA
Rfam family: Bacterial small subunit ribosomal RNA
Source: RNAcentral
CCUACGGGAGGCAGCAGUGGGGAAUAUUGCACAAUGGGGGAAACCCUGAUGCAGCGACGCCGCGUGAGUGAAGAAGGAUUUCGGUAUGGAAAGCUCUAUCAGCAGGGAAGAAAAUGACGGUACCUGAAGAAGAAGCCCCGGCUAACGACGAGCCAGCAGCCGCGGUAAUACGGAGGGGGCAAGCGUUAUCCGGAUUUACUGGGUGUAAAGGGAGCGUAGACGGCAGCACAAGUCUGGAGUGAAAUGCCGGGGCUUAACCCCCGAACUGCUUUGGAAACUGGGCAGCUAGAGUGCAGGAGAGGUAAGUGGAAUUCCUAGUGUAGCGGUGAAAUGCGUAGAUAUUAGGAGGAACACCAGUGGCGAAGGCGGCUUACUGGACUGUACCUGACGUUGAGGCUCGAAAGCGUGGGGAGCAAACAGGAUUAGAUACCCCUGUAGUC